RNAcentral lists this ribosomal RNA (464 nucleotides) under uncultured bacterium. RNAcentral's name for it is "partial 16S ribosomal RNA". It matches the Rfam family "Bacterial small subunit ribosomal RNA", at positions 339 to 795 of the family's 1533-position model. The record is from RNAcentral.
CUACGGGUGGCACCAGUGGGGAAUAUUGCACAAUGGGCGCAAGCCUGAUGCAGCCAUGCCGCGUGUAUGAAGAAGGCCUUCGGGUUGUAAAGUACUUUCAGCGGGGAGGAAGGGAGUAAAGUUAAUACCUUUGCUCAUUGACGUUACCCGCAGAAGAAGCACCGGCGAACUCCGUGCCAGCAGCCGCGGUAAUACGGAGGGUGCAAGCGUUAAUCGGAAUUACUGGGCGUAAAGCGCACGCAGGCGGUUUGUUAAGUCAGAUGUGAAAUCCCCGGGCUCAACCUGGGAACUGCAUCUGAUACUGGCAAGCUUGAGUCUCGGAGAGGGGGGUAGAAUUCCAGGUGUAGCGGUGAAAUGCGUAGAGAUCUGGAGGAAUACCGGUGGCGAAGGCGGCCCCCUGGACGAAGACUGACGCUCAGGUGCGAAAGCGUGGGGAGCAAACAGGAUUAGAUACCCUCGUAGUC